AGCGAACGCUGGCGGCAGGCCUAACACAUGCAAGUCGAACGAACCUUUCGGGGUUAGUGGCGGACGGGUGCGUAACCCGUGGGAACGUGCCUUUAGGUUCGGAAUAACUCAGGGAAACUUGUGCUAAUACCGAAUGUGCCCUUCGGGGGAAAGAUUUAUCGCCUUUAGAGCGGCCCGCGUCUGAUUAGCUAGUUGGUUGAGGUAAUGGCUCACCAAGGCGACGAUCAGUAGCUGGUCUGAGAGGAUGAUCAGCCACAUUGGGACUGAGACACGGCCCAAACUCCUACGGGAGGCAGCAGUGGGGAAUCUUGCGCAAUGGGCGAAAGCCUGACGCAGCCAUGCCGCGUGAAUGAUGAAGGUCUUAGGAGUGUAAAAUUCUUUCACCGGGGACGAUAAUGACGGUACCCGGAGAAGAAGCCCCGGCUAACUUCGUG
This 434-nucleotide ribosomal RNA is filed under the name uncultured bacterium. RNAcentral describes it as "partial 16S ribosomal RNA". It matches the Rfam family "Bacterial small subunit ribosomal RNA", at positions 29 to 507 of the family's 1533-position model. The record is from RNAcentral.